CAAUAGCGUAUACUAAAGUUGUUGCGAUUAAAAAGCUCGUAGUUGGAUCUCAGGCAUGGGCGCGCGGUCCGCCUCGCGGCGGUCACUGUGUGUUUUGUUUCCCAUCCUACGCUUCCCGGUUAUCAGCCCAUGGUGCUCUUCACUGAGCGUUUUGGGUGGCCGGAACGUUUACUUUGAAGAAAUUAGAGUGUUCAAAGCAGGCACGUCGCCUGAAUAAUGGUGCAUGGAAUAAUGGAAUAGGACCUCGGUUCUAUUUUGCUGGUUUUCGGAACACGAGGUAAUGAUUAAGAGGGACAGACGGGGGCAUCCGUAUUGCGGUGUUAGAGGUGAAAUUCUUGGAUCAUCGCAAGACGAACAACUGCGAAAGCAUUUGCCAAGCAUGUUUUCAUUAG
RNAcentral lists this ribosomal RNA (392 nucleotides) under uncultured eukaryote. RNAcentral's name for it is "partial 18S ribosomal RNA". It matches the Rfam family "Eukaryotic small subunit ribosomal RNA", at positions 592 to 976 of the family's 1831-position model. The record is from RNAcentral.